Molecule: long non-coding RNA, 828 nt
Filed under: Olea europaea (common olive)
Lineage: Eukaryota; Viridiplantae; Streptophyta; Magnoliopsida; Lamiales; Oleaceae
Description: long non-coding RNA (OEUR_LNC009475)
Source: RNAcentral
UGCGUGUCCUAUGUAGCCUAUAAAAUAGAUUGAUAAGUUUGAUGUGAUAGUUAUAUUUUAUCUACAUAUUGAAACCUAUCUUGACAAAUUUGUAUGGAACACAUAAACUAUAUUUCAAUUGUUUCAAAACUCUAUUGUUUCAACUAUAAAUAUCAAGCAAUAGGCUGCAUUAUUCACCACACAAAACUAGAUAGUACCGACAAAUUUAACACGGUGGCAGAGAGAUUUAGGAAAAUAAUUUGGAAAGUGAAUUCAUACUUAGUUCAACAAUUUGUUAGAUCUAACGAGGUAAGAUACUUUAUAUGCAAGUGGUUGUUUUCGUAUACUUUUAUGUUCAAUUAAUUAUGCAUGAAUUGCCUGUAGACUUUCGAGUUCGACCUAACGGAAUGUGAACUGUACUGAGUUCUUUCUAACGACGUGUGAAAUCCUUCGGGAAUUCAAAGUACUACUAAUGAGUGUAUUGCUUGGUCAUCGUUAUACUUCAUAAGAAAUAUGGUAUGCAAUAUUUAAUUCAAUGUCAUAUAAUUGUCUAUGAAAACUGCACGUCUCUUACUGAGUAUUUUUAAAUAUUCACUCUUGCUGUAAUUUUACAGGCUAGUUCGGGUUGAUUGGAUCUGUGGCAAGAUGGUGAUGCGGGCUGUCAAGUAGAUCAAAGGAACAUUAAGUUUUUAUGUCUUUAAAUUUUAGUUAGUUUAAAUUUAUUCAAAAACAUGUUUUUAAAUUAAUUAAUCAUUCAUGUCUAUAUUUUUUUCAUGUAUAACUUAAGUUUAUGGAUAUUCAGCACUUUUAUUUAUAAAGAAAAUUAUCGUUCCAUGUUCAAAACAAACA